This 1488-nucleotide ribosomal RNA is filed under the name metagenome. RNAcentral's name for it is "bacterial SSU rRNA". It matches the Rfam family "Bacterial small subunit ribosomal RNA". The record is from RNAcentral.
AGAGUUUGAUCCUGGCUCAGAUUGAACGCUGGCGGCAUGCCUUACACAUGCGAGUCGAACGGCAGCACGGGGGCAACCCUGGUGGCGAGUGGCGAACGGUGAGUAAUGCAUCGGAACGUGCCCAAUUGUGGGGGAUAGCCCGGCGAAAGCCGGAUUAAUACCGCAUACGACCUGAGGGUGAAAGCGGGGGACCGCAAGGCCUCGCGCAAUUGGAGCGGCCGAUGUCGGAUUAGCUAGUUGGUGGGGUAAAGGCUUACCAAGGCGACGAUCCGUAGCUGGUCUGAGAGGACGACCAGCCACACUGGGACUGAGACACGGCCCAGACUCCUACGGGAGGCAGCAGUGGGGAAUUUUGGACAAUGGGCGCAAGCCUGAUCCAGCCAUGCCGCGUGCGGGAAGAAGGCCUUCGGGUUGUAAACCGCUUUUGUCAGGGAAGAAAUGCGCUGGGAUAAUACCUCGGCGUGAUGACGGUACCUGAAGAAUAAGCACCGGCUAACUACGUGCCAGCAGCCGCGGUAAUACGUAGGGUGCAAGCGUUAAUCGGAAUUACUGGGCGUAAAGCGUGCGCAGGCGGUUGUGCAAGACAGAUGUGAAAUCCCCGGGCUCAACCUGGGAACUGCAUUUGUGACUGCACGGCUGGAGUGCGGCAGAGGGGGAUGGAAUUCCGCGUGUAGCAGUGAAAUGCGUAGAUAUGCGGAGGAACACCGAUGGCGAAGGCAAUCCCCUGGGCCUGCACUGACGCUCAUGCACGAAAGCGUGGGGAGCAAACAGGAUUAGAUACCCUGGUAGUCCACGCCCUAAACGAUGUCGACUAGUUGUUGGACGGCUUGCUGUUCAGUAACGUAGCUAACGCGUGAAGUCGACCGCCUGGGGAGUACGGCCGCAAGGUUAAAACUCAAAGGAAUUGACGGGGACCCGCACAAUCGGUGGAUGAUGUGGUUUAAUUCGAUGCAACGCGAAAAACCUUACCUACCCUUGACAUGCCAGGAAUCCUGCAGAGAUGUGGGAGUGCUCGAAAGAGAGCCUGGACACAGGUGCUGCAUGGCCGUCGUCAGCUCGUGUCGUGAGAUGUUGGGUUAAGUCCCGCAACGAGCGCAACCCUUGUCAUUAGUUGCUACGAAAGGGCACUCUAAUGAGACUGCCGGUGACAAACCGGAGGAAGGUGGGGAUGACGUCAGGUCCUCAUGGCCCUUAUGGGUAGGGCUACACACGUCAUACAAUGGCCGGUACAGAGGGUUGCCAACCCGCAAGGGGGAGCUAAUCUCAGAAAACCGGUCGUAGUCCGGAUCGCAGUCUGCAACUCGACUGCGUGAAGUCGGAAUCGCUAGUAAUCGCGGAUCAGCAUGUCGCGGUGAAUACGUUCCCGGGUCUUGUACACACCGCCCGUCACACCAUGGGAGCGGGUUCUGCCAGAAGUAGUUAGCCUAACCGCAAGGAGGGCGAUUACCACGGCGGGGUUCGUGACUGGGGUGAAGUCGUAACAAGGUA